GACGAACGCUGGCGGCGUGCUUAACACAUGCAAGUCGAACGGAAAGGCCCUGCUUUUGUGGGGUGCUCGAGUGGCGAACGGGUGAGUAACACGUGAGUAACCUGCCCUUUACUUUGGGAUAACUUCAGGUAACUGGGGCUAAUACCGGAUAGGAGCUCCUGCUGCAUGGUGGGGGUUGGAAAGUUUCGGCGGUUGGGGAUGGACUCGCGGCUUAUCAGCUUGUUGGUGGGGUAGUGGCUUACCAAGGCUUUGACGGGUAGCCGGCCUGAGAGGGUGACCGGCCACAUUGGGACUGAGAUACGGCACAGACUCCUACGGGAGGCAGCAGUGGGGAAUAUUGCACAAUGGGCGGAAGCCUGAUGCAGCAACGCCGCGUGCGGGAUGACGGCCUUCGGGUUGUAAACCGCUUUCGCCUGUGACGAAGCGUGAGUGACGGUAAUGGGUAAAGAAGCACCGGCUAACUACGUG
RNAcentral lists this ribosomal RNA (468 nucleotides) under uncultured bacterium. Its description in RNAcentral is "partial 16S ribosomal RNA". It matches the Rfam family "Bacterial small subunit ribosomal RNA", at positions 28 to 507 of the family's 1533-position model. The record is from RNAcentral.